Molecule: long non-coding RNA, 637 nt
Organism: Lathyrus oleraceus (garden pea)
Lineage: Eukaryota; Viridiplantae; Streptophyta; Magnoliopsida; Fabales; Fabaceae
Exons: 2
Source: RefSeq, a predicted model, not a curated record
GGGUAUUAUGUUAGCUAUUUUGACAAAAAUCCGGAACUCCUCCUUCCUCUCUCUAAUCGACAGAAUAUCUACCUCACCCACCAAAAUCUAUUUUUCAUUCUUCCCCCAAACCAAGCUUUAUGAGGUGCUUUCAUGGUAAUCCAAACACCUAGAAAGAACAAGAUUCUAUUGAUUUCUAAUUCAAUAAUAAAUAUUUACAUGUGUCUCUUGAACUCUCUAGUCCAUAUUUUGGACUGUAGGUGAAGUCGUAGGGAGAUUUGAAUCAAAGGAAAGAGCUUUAAGAGGAUUAUGUAAACUUCAAGAACUCAAGCUUAAAGGAAUCAGAUUUUUUCAAGAUAAGCAGGUUUCAAAGGGUAAGAAUGACGUGGGUUAAACUCAAUGGAGCGGAGACUCUUUAUGAUCCAACUUUUGUAUUACUCUUUAAGUUAUUUUGUGCAAAGGCUUUUUCAACCAUUUACUGUGAAACUUAAUUAUCUCGUACAUUAGUUGUAAUUUCUUUUGUGAAUCAUGGACUAAUGAGUUAGUCAAGUGGCAUGUUUGUGUUUCAAGUUAAAAUUUAUGAUAUGUAAAGUCUGAAGUAAUGUAAUUUCAAUUAUCGACUAUCAAUACGAGACUCCAAGGAUUAUAUUCUAGACAA